GACGAACGCUGGCGGCGUGCUUAACACAUGCAAGUCGAACGGAAAGGCCCUGCUUUUGUGGGGUGCUCGAGUGGCGAACGGGUGAGUAACACGUGAGUAACCUGCCCUUGACUUUGGGAUAACUUCAGGAAACUGGGGCUAAUAUCGGAUAGGAGCUCCUGUUGCAUGGUGGGGGUUGGAAAGUCUCGGCGGUUGGGGAUGGACUCGCGGCUUAUGAGCUAGUUGGUGGGGUAGUGGCUUACCAAGGGUUUGACGGGUAGCCGGCUUGAGAGGGUGACCGGCCACAUUAGGACUGAGAUACGGCCCAGACUCCUACGGGAGGCAGCGGUGGGGAGUAUUGCACAGUGGGCGGGAGCGUGAUGCAGCAACGCCGCGUGCGGGAUGACGGCCUUCGGGUUGUGAACCGCUUUCGCCUGAGACGAAGCGUGAGUGACGGUAAUGGAUAAAGAAGCACCGGCUAACUACGUG
Molecule: ribosomal RNA, 468 nt
Filed under: uncultured bacterium
Lineage: Bacteria
Description: partial 16S ribosomal RNA
Rfam family: Bacterial small subunit ribosomal RNA
Source: RNAcentral